RNAcentral lists this ribosomal RNA (250 nucleotides) under uncultured bacterium. RNAcentral's name for it is "partial 16S ribosomal RNA". It matches the Rfam family "Bacterial small subunit ribosomal RNA", at positions 524 to 773 of the family's 1533-position model. The record is from RNAcentral.
UACGAAGGGGGCUAGCGUUGCUCGGAAUUACUGGGCGUAAAGGGCGCGUAGGCGGAUCGUUAAGUCAGGGGUGAAAUCCCAGAGCUCAACUCUGGAACUGCCUUUGAUACUGGCGAUCUUGAGUGUGAGAGAGGUAUGUGGAACUCCGAGUGUAGAGGUGAAAUUCGUAGAUAUUCGGAAGAACACCAGUGGCGAAGGCGACAUACUGGCUCAUUACUGACGCUGAGGCGCGAAAGCGUGGGGAGCAAAC